RNAcentral lists this ribosomal RNA (466 nucleotides) under uncultured bacterium. RNAcentral describes it as "partial 16S ribosomal RNA". It matches the Rfam family "Bacterial small subunit ribosomal RNA", at positions 28 to 507 of the family's 1533-position model. The record is from RNAcentral.
GAUGAACGCUGGCGGCGUGCUUAACACAUGCAAGUCGAACGGAAAGGCCACAGCUUGCUGUGGUACUCGAGUGGCGAACGGGUGAGUAACACGUGGGUGAUCUGCCCUGUACUUCGGGAUAAGCUUGGGAAACUGGGUCUAAUACCGGAUAGGAAUCACAUGUGGGUGUGUGGUUGGAAAGCUUUUGCGGUAUGGGAUGAGCUCGCGGCCUAUCAGCUUGUUGGUGGGGUAAUGGCCUACCAAGGCGUCGACGGGUAGCCGGCCUGAGAGGGUGUACGGCCACAUUGGGACUGAGAUACGGCCCAGACUCCUACGGGAGGCAGCAGUGGGGAAUAUUGCACAAUGGGCGGAAGCCUGAUGCAGCGACGCCGCGUGGGGGAUGACGGCCUUCGGGUUGUAAACUCCUUUCGUCAGGGACGAAGCGAAAGUGACGGUACCUGGAAAAGAAGCACCGGCUAACUACGUG